UGUUUGUACCUUUUGGUUGACCUCUGAGGAGUAGCUUGGAUACCUUCUUCCCCUUAACACUGUAGAGGCUCUCUCUGCAACAGAACUCCCUACAUCUCACAGCACCAGCCUCCAUUCUCCUACCAAGGAUGAUUUGUAUGUCCAGCCUUCUCUAGGACUUCUGCCAGAUUGGGUGAAUCCAAAAAAUACUGACCUUCUUAACAUCUCUUUGUAAAAACAGCUCUCAUUUCUCUGUUUUUAUAUUUCUUUUACUUUCCUCCUCUUCCUCUUCCUCCUCCUUCUCAUUUUCCUUCUUUUUUUUUUUUAGAGACAGGGUCUUGUUCUGUUUUCUAGGCUGGAGUGCAGUGGCAUGGUCAUAGCUCACUGCAGCCUCAAACUCCUGGGCUCAAACCAUCCUCCUGCCCCAGCCUCCCAAGUAGCUGGAUCUACAGGUGCUUGCCACCACGCUCAGCUAAACUAAAAAAAAAAAUCUUUUUUUUUUUUUUUUUUUUUUUUUUAGAGACUGGCUCUUGUAUUGUUGCCCAUGCUGAUCUCAAACUCCUGGCUUCAAGUGACCCUCCUGCAUCAGCCUCCCAAAGCACUGGGAUUACGGGUGUAUGCCAUCGCACUGGGCCUGUUUUUCAUAUUUCAAAGACACGAAGCCACCUCAGUGGAAGAAGCCCAGGGUAAGUGGUGAGUUCCCCAGGGGCGCUUGCUCCCUUCUGCCUGCUGCUCUUCCUGCCUUAGCUGGGGCUUUCAAUCUUGUGCUCCAAGGUGGCUGCCAGGACCCCAGAUGUCACAUCCCUUUCCCAAGCAUCAGGAUGGAGAGAGAAAGAAGGCCAUCCAGUGUCUCUUUGAGAAGACUCCCUGGAAUAAUUGGUAAGAUUUCUACUUACAUCUCUGUUGGCCACACACCUGGACACAAGGCCACACGUGCUUCAAGUUAGCUGCGAAGUGGGGGCUCUUUCCAGAGGAGAACAUCACAGCCAAGCCUCUCAUUCAUUUCUGACUCAGAACGGGAGAAUGAAUGUUGGGUGACCAGUAACCUGGCAUGCCUCCUGUGCUAUCACCAUGAGCUAGGACAAUGAGAGAUAUGUGCUUCUGAGACAGGAAGUUGGCAGGACUGUUUUACAAGACCCAGCUCAAAAAACAAACAAACAAGCAAAAAACCAAAAAAAAAAGCCUGCUGAUAAAACAGGAUGCAGUAAAGAAGCCAGCCAAAACCCACCAAAACCAAGAUGGCUACACAAGCAACCUCUGAUCAUCCUC
This 1248-nucleotide long non-coding RNA is filed under the name Macaca mulatta (Rhesus monkey). RNAcentral's name for it is "lncRNA (ENSMMUG00000062676.1)". The record is from RNAcentral. Lineage: Eukaryota; Metazoa; Chordata; Mammalia; Primates; Cercopithecidae.